RNAcentral lists this unclassified non-coding RNA (348 nucleotides) under soil metagenome. RNAcentral describes it as "partial contains 5.8S ribosomal RNA, internal transcribed spacer 2, and large subunit ribosomal RNA". The stretch from base 1 to 120 matches the Rfam family "5.8S ribosomal RNA", at positions 35 to 154 of the family's 154-position model. The record is from RNAcentral.
GAUGAAGAACGUAGCGAAAUGCGAUAAGUAAUGUGAAUUGCAGAAUUCAGUGAAUCAUCGAGUCUUUGAACGCACAUUGCGCCCCCUGGUAUUCCGGGGGGCAUGCCUGUCCGAGCGUCAUUGCUGCCCUCAAGCACGGCUUGUGUGUUGGGCCCCCGUCCCCGGUUUCCCCCGGGGACGGGCCCGAAAGGCAGCGGCGGCACCGCGUCCGGUCCUCGAGCGUAUGGGGCUUUGUCACCCGCUCUGUAGGCCCGGCCGGCGCCAGCCGACACCCAACUUUAUUUCUACGGUUGACCUCGGAUCAGGUAGGGAUACCCGCUGAACUUAAGCAUAUCAAUAAGCGGAGGA